AGAAUCAACGCUGGCGGCGUGCCUAACACAUGCAAGUCGAACGAGAAAGUGGAGCAAUCCAUGAGUAAAGUGGCGCACGGGUGAGUAACACGUGACUAACCUACCUUUUAGUGGGGGAUAACCUAGGGAAACCUGGGCUAAUACCGCAUAAUACCUACGGGUCAAAGCAGCAAUGCGCUGGAAGAGGGGGUCGCGGCCGAUUAGCUAGUUGGCGGGGUAAUGGCCCACCAAGGCAGUGAUCGGUAUCCGGCCUGAGAGGGCGCACGGACACACUGGAACUGAAACACGGUCCAGACUCCUACGGGAGGCAGCAGUGGGAAUUUUGCGCAAUGGGGGAAACCCUGACGCAGCAACGCCGCGUGGAGGAUGAAGACCCUUGGGUCGUAAACUCCUUUCGAUCGGGACGAUAAUGACGGUACCGGAAGAAGAAGCCCCGGCUAAACUUCGCGCCAGCAGCCGC
This 460-nucleotide ribosomal RNA is filed under the name uncultured bacterium. RNAcentral describes it as "SSU rRNA". It matches the Rfam family "Bacterial small subunit ribosomal RNA", at positions 26 to 518 of the family's 1533-position model. The record is from RNAcentral.